GCUGGGCACGGUGGCACAUGCCUGUAAUCCCAGUGGCUCGGGAGGCUGAGGCAGGAGAAUCAAGAGUUCAAAGCCAGCCUCAGCAAAAGCAAGGUACUAAGCAAUUCAGUGAGACCCUGUCUCUA
Molecule: small RNA, 125 nt
Filed under: Marmota monax (woodchuck)
Lineage: Eukaryota; Metazoa; Chordata; Mammalia; Rodentia; Sciuridae
Source: RNAcentral